AAGACUUCUCGGCCUUUUGGCUAAGAUCAAGUGUAGUAUCUGUUCUUAUCAGUUGCCAAUAGGUGGUGCUAAGCUGACUGUCCCUCUUUUAACUGGGAGGAGCUGGUAGUACUUCCAGAAUGUGAUUAGGUGGGAGAGAUAGGGGUUGUGGGUAGUGCCGGCUUAGGUGGGCACUCCCCAACCUCUU
This is a small nuclear RNA of Rana temporaria (common frog), 187 nucleotides long. RefSeq annotates it as U2 spliceosomal RNA. The record is from RefSeq and is a predicted model, not a curated record. Lineage: Eukaryota; Metazoa; Chordata; Amphibia; Anura; Ranidae. The transcript has a single exon.